Molecule: ribosomal RNA, 497 nt
Filed under: uncultured bacterium
Lineage: Bacteria
Description: partial 16S ribosomal RNA
Rfam family: Bacterial small subunit ribosomal RNA
Source: RNAcentral
GAUGAACGCUGGCGGCGUGCCUAAUACAUGCAAGUCGAGCGAACAGACGAGGAGCUUGCUCCUCUGCCGUUAGCGGCGGACGGGUGAGUAACACGUGGAUAACCUACCUAUAAGACUGGGAUAACUUCGGGAAACCGGAGCUAAUACCGGAUAAUAUAUUGAACCGCAUGGUUCAAUAGUUAAAGACGGUUUUGCUGUCACUUAUAGAUGGAUCCGCGCCGCAUUAGCUAGUUGGUAAGGUAACGGCUUACCAAGGCGACGAUGCGUAGCCGACCUGAGAGGGUGAUCGGCCACACUGGAACUGAGACACGGUCCAGACUCCUACGGGAGGCAGCAGUAGGGAAUAUUGCGCAAUGGGCGAAAGCCUGACGGAGCAACGCCGCGUGAGUGAUGAAGGUCUUCGGAUCGUAAAACUCUGUUAUUAGGGAAGAACAAAUGUGUAAGUAACUAUGCACGUCUUGACGGUACCUAAUCAGAAAGCCACGGCUAACUACGUG